RNAcentral lists this ribosomal RNA (609 nucleotides) under uncultured bacterium. Its description in RNAcentral is "bacterial SSU rRNA". It matches the Rfam family "Bacterial small subunit ribosomal RNA", at positions 923 to 1532 of the family's 1533-position model. The record is from RNAcentral.
GCACAAGCGGUGGAGCAUGUGGUUUAAUUCGACGCAACGCGAAGAACCUUACCUACUCUUGACAUCCAGAGAAGACUGCAGAGAUGCGGUUGUGCCUUCGGGAACUCUGAGACAGGUGCUGCAUGGCUGUCGUCAGCUCGUGUUGUGAAAUGUUGGGUUAAGUCCCGCAACGAGCGCAACCCUUAUCCUUAGUUGCCAGCGAUUCGGUCGGGAACUCUAGGGAGACUGCCGGUGAUAAACCGGAGGAAGGUGGGGACGACGUCAAGUCAUCAUGGCCCUUACGAGUAGGGCUACACACGUGCUACAAUGGUAUGUACAGAGGGAGGCAAGCUGGCGACAGUGAGCGGAUCUCUUAAAGCAUAUCGUAGUCCGGAUCGCAGUCUGCAACUCGACUGCGUGAAGUCGGAAUCGCUAGUAAUCGCAAAUCAGAAUGUUGCGGUGAAUACAUUCCCGGGCCUUGUACACACCGCCCGUCACACCAUGGGAGUGGGUUGCAAAAGAAGUAGGUAGCUUAACCUUCGGGAGGGCGCUUACCACUUUGUGAUUCAUGACUGGGGUGAAGUCGUAACAAGGUAACCGUAGGGGAACCUGCGGCUGGAUCACCUCCUU